RNAcentral lists this ribosomal RNA (396 nucleotides) under uncultured bacterium. Its description in RNAcentral is "partial 16S ribosomal RNA". It matches the Rfam family "Bacterial small subunit ribosomal RNA", at positions 523 to 918 of the family's 1533-position model. The record is from RNAcentral.
AUACGUAGGUGACAAGCGUUAUCCGGAUUUACUGGGCGUAAAGGGCGCGUAGGCGGGAAAUUAAGUCAGGUGUGAAAACUCCGAGCUCAACUUGGAGAUUGCACUUGAAACUGGUAUUCUUGAGGGCAGGAGAGGAAAGUGGAAUUCCUAGUGUAGCGGUGAAAUGCGUAGAUAUUAGGAGGAACACCAGUGGCGAAGGCGGCCUGCUGGACGACAACUGACGCUGAGGCGCGAAAGCGUGGGGAGCAAACAGGAUUAGAUACCCUGGUAGUCCACGUUGUAAACGAUGAAUACUAGGUGUGGGGGGACUGACCCCCUCCGUGCCGCAGUUAACACAAUAAGUAUUCCACCUGGGGAGUACGAUCGCAAGAUUGAAACUCAAAGGAAUUGGCGGGG